GGAAUUUUGGACAAUGGGCGCAAGCCUGAUCCAGCCAUUCCGCGUGCAGGAUGAAGGCCCUCGGGUUGUAAACUGCUUUUGUACGGAACGAAAAAGCCUUCUCUAAUCCAGAGGUUCCAUGACGGUACCGUAAGAAUACGCCCCGGCUAACUACGUGCCAGCAGCCGCGGUAAUACGUGGGGUGCAAGCGUUAAUCGGAAUUACUGGGCGUAAAGCGUGCGCAGGCGGUGAUGUAAGACAGGUGUGAAAUCCCCGGGCUUAACCUGGGAACUGCAUUUGUGACUGCAUUGCUGGAGUGCGGCAGAGGGGGAUGGAAUUCCGCGUGUAGCAGUGAAAUGCGUAGAUAUGCGGAGGAACACCGAUGGCGAAGGCAAUCCCCUGGGCCUGCACUGACGCUCAUGCACGAAAGCGUGGGGAGCAAAC
This 423-nucleotide ribosomal RNA is filed under the name uncultured bacterium. Its description in RNAcentral is "bacterial SSU rRNA". It matches the Rfam family "Bacterial small subunit ribosomal RNA", at positions 358 to 773 of the family's 1533-position model. The record is from RNAcentral.